AUAUACCGUACCCGUACCGUAAACCGACACAGGUAGAUGAGGAGAGAAUCCUAAGGCCGACGGGAGAAGCAUUGUUAAGGAACUCGGCAAAAUGACCCCGUAACUUCGGGAGAAGGGGUGCCCACGCGAGUGGGCCGCAGAGAAUAGGCUCAAGCAACUGUUUAGCAAAAACACAGGUCUAUGCGAAACCGAAAGGUGAGGUAUAUGGGCUGACGCCUGCCCGGUGCUGGAAGGUUAAGAGGAGGAGUCAGGCAACGAAGCUCCGAAUUUAAGCCCCAGUAAACGGCGGCCGUAACUAUAACGGUCCUAAGGUAGCGAAAUUCCUUGUCGGGUAAGUUCCGACCCGCACGAAAGGCGUAAUGAUUUGAGCACUGUCUCGACAAUGCACCCGGUGAAAUUGAAGUACCAGUGAAGAUGCUGGUUACCUGCGCCAGGACGGAAAGACCCCAUGGAGCUUUACUCCAGUUUGAUACUGGGAUUCGAUACUGAAUGUACAGGAUAGGUGGGAGGCUGAGAAGCGUGGACGCCAGUCUGCGGUGAGCCGCUGUUGGGAUACCACCCUUUGAGUAUUGGAUUUCUAACCUGCGCCCGUGACCCGGGCGGGAGACAAUGUCUGACGGGGAGUUUGACUGGGGCGGUCGCCUCCGAAAGGGUAUCGGAGGCGCUCAAAGGUUCCCUCAGAAUGGUUGGAAACCAUUCGCAGAGUGCAAAGGCAGAAGGGAGCUUGACUGUGACACCGACGGGUGGAGCAGGUACGAAAGUAGGACUUAGUGAUCCGGUGGUAUGAAAGUGGGAUUGCCAUCGCUCAACGGAUAAAAGCUACCCUGGGAUAACAGGCUUAUCACUCCCAAGAGUUCACAUCGACGGAGUGGUUUGGCACCUCGAUGUCGGCUCAUCGCAUCCUGGGGCUGUAGCAGGUCCCAAGGGUUGGGCUGUUCGCCCAUUAAAGCGGUACGCGAGCUGGGUUCAGAACGUCGUGAGACAGUUCGGUCCCUAUCCGGCGCAGGCGUAGGAUAUUUGAGAGGAGCUGUCCUUAGUACGAGAGGACCGGGAUGGACAGACCGCUGGUGUAUCUGUUGGUGACCAACACCGUGGCAGAGUAGCCAAGUCUGGCAGGGAUAAACGCUGAAGGCAUCUAAGCGUGAAGCCCCCCUCAAGAUGAGAUAUCCCAAUAAGUAAGACCCCUUAGAGAGUAUGAGGUAGAUAGGCUUAAGGUGUAAGCAUAGUAAUAUGUUCAGCUGAUAAGUACUAAUAGGUCGAGGGCUUAUC
Molecule: ribosomal RNA, 1269 nt
Filed under: metagenome
Description: bacterial LSU rRNA
Rfam family: Bacterial large subunit ribosomal RNA
Source: RNAcentral